Molecule: ribosomal RNA, 750 nt
Filed under: uncultured bacterium
Lineage: Bacteria
Description: bacterial SSU rRNA
Rfam family: Bacterial small subunit ribosomal RNA
Source: RNAcentral
UAGUGGCGAACGGGUGAGUAACGCGUAAGUAACCUGCCCCCAAGUAGGGAAUAACUUUGAGAAAUUGGAGCUAAUACCGUAUGUGGUGAUGAAGGUAAUGCUGCAUCACUAAAGCCUUAGGGCGCUUGGGGAGGGGCUUGCGUCCGAUUAGCUAGUUGGUAGGGUAACGGCUUACCAAGGCGAUGAUCGGUAGCUGGUUUGAGAGGACGGCCAGCCACAUUGGGACUGAGAUACGGCCCAGACUCCUAUGGGAGGCAGCAGCAAGGAAUAUUGUGCAAUGGGCGAAAGCCUGACACAGCGACACCGCGUGGGGGAUGAAGGCCUUUGGGUUGUAAACCCCUUUUCUCAGGGAAGAAUAAUGACGGUACCUGAGGAAUAAGUCUCGGCUAACUACGUGCCAGCAGCCGCGGUAAUACGUAGGAGGCGAGCGUUAUCCGGAUUUACUGGGCGUAAAGAGGGCGUAGGCGGCUUUUCAAGUCGGAUAUAAAAUCUCCUGGCUUAACUGGGAGGGGCUAUUCGAUACUGUUAGGCUAGAGGGCAGCAGGGGGAGGUGGAAUUCCCGGUGUAGUGGUGAAAUGCGUAGAUAUCGGGAGGAACACCAGUGGCGAAGGCGGCCUCCUAGGCUGUUUCUGACGCUGAGGCCCGAAAGCGUGGGGAGCGAACAGGAUUAGAUACUCUGGUAGUCCACGCUGUAAACGAUGGACACUAGGUAUGGGGGGUAUCGACCCUCUCCGUGCCGAAGCUAACGCG